This 376-nucleotide ribosomal RNA is filed under the name uncultured bacterium. RNAcentral describes it as "bacterial SSU rRNA". It matches the Rfam family "Bacterial small subunit ribosomal RNA", at positions 524 to 898 of the family's 1533-position model. The record is from RNAcentral.
UACGUAGGAGGCGAGCGUUGUCCGGAGUUACUGGGCGUAAAGGGUGCGUAGGCGGCUGCGCGCGUGGAGGGUGAAAUCUCUCGGCUUACCCGGGAGGGGGCUUUCCAGACGGCGUGGCUUGAGGGACGGAGAGGGGCGUGGAAUUCCGGGUGGAGCGGUGAAAUGCGUAGAGAUCCGGAGGAACACCGACGGCGUAGGCAGCGCCCUGGCCGUUUCCUGACGCUGAAGCACGAAAGCUGGGGGAGCAAACAGGAUUAGAUACCCUGGUAGUCCCAGCCCUAAACGAUGUCCACCGGGUGCCGGGGGUAUCGACCCCCUCGGUGCCGAAGCUAACGUGAUGAGUGGACCGCCUGGGGAGUACGGCCGCAAGGUUGAA